GUAAAAAAUAUUUAAAAUAAAUAGAAUUUUUUUAGUAAUAGUGAAAUGUUAUUAUAAGGAAAAGAAUUCUUUAUGUGAAAAUAAUUUAUUUUUUUUUUCUUAAGCACGAGGGUUUUGGGAGUAAACAGGAUUAAAGACCCUGGUAAUCAAUACAGUAAAAAAAAUCGCUUGAGUAGUACGGUCGCAAGAUUAAAAUUCAAAAAAUUUGGCUGUUCAUUGUUAUUUAAAGGAGCGUGUCGUUUAAUUCGAUAAUCCGCGAAUUACCUUACCAAGACUUGGUUUUCCG
RNAcentral lists this ribosomal RNA (286 nucleotides) under Coscinaraea columna. Its description in RNAcentral is "partial small subunit ribosomal RNA". It matches the Rfam family "Bacterial small subunit ribosomal RNA", at positions 641 to 991 of the family's 1533-position model. Lineage: Eukaryota; Metazoa; Cnidaria; Anthozoa; Scleractinia; Coscinaraeidae. The record is from RNAcentral.